GAUGAACGCUGGCGGCGUGCCUAAUACAUGCAAGUCGAGCGAACAGAUGAGGAGCUUGCUCCUCUGACGUUAGCGGCGGACGGGUGAGUAACACGUGGAUAACCUACCUAUAAGACUGGGAUAACUUCGGGAAACCGGAGCUAAUACCGGAUAAUAUAUUGAACCGCAUGGUUCAAUAGUGAAAGACGGUUUUGCUGUCACUUAUAGAUGGAUCCGCGCCGCAUUAGCUAGUUGGUAAGGUAACGGCUUACCAAGGCAACGAUGCGUAGCCGACCUGAGAGGGUGAUCGGCCACACUGGAACUGAGACACGGUCCAGACUCCUACGGGAGGCAGCAGUAGGGAAUCUUCCGCAAUGGGCGAAAGCCUGACGGAGCAACGCCGCGUGAGUGAUGAAGGUCUUCGGAUCGUAAAACUCUGUUAUUAGGGAAGAACAAAUGUGUAAGUAACUAUGCACGUCUUGACGGUACCUAAUCAGAAAGCCACGGCUAAGUACGUG
RNAcentral lists this ribosomal RNA (497 nucleotides) under uncultured bacterium. RNAcentral's name for it is "partial 16S ribosomal RNA". It matches the Rfam family "Bacterial small subunit ribosomal RNA", at positions 28 to 507 of the family's 1533-position model. The record is from RNAcentral.